Molecule: transfer RNA, 78 nt
Filed under: Serratia fonticola
Lineage: Bacteria; Pseudomonadati; Pseudomonadota; Gammaproteobacteria; Enterobacterales; Yersiniaceae
Description: tRNA-OTHER
Source: RNAcentral
GGAGGAAUAUCCGAGUGAGAGGGUUUUAAACCGUCGACGGGAAACCGUUCCAGAGUUCGAAUCUCUGCUCCUCCGCCA